AGUGUUCUGGAUAGCCGAGGGGUUCGGGCGCGGGGCUGCGGAGCCGCAAGGCGCCUCUGUCGCCGAGUUCGAGGUUCGCCGAUGACAGGAUGCGGCCCGCGGACGCCUGGCUUGACAACAAACCUGUGCAACCGCCGCACAGCCCAAACUACGGGAGAGAUGAACCGCUGCUGCAGUUUCAUCACACUGUACCUUUCAUAGGAUCGAAGGGGGAGGGAAAGAACAAAGUGAGCUGGGAACCUCCCCCCCCCAAAAAAAACCCCCACAACAUUAGAUCACGCGUAAAAGUGUCCGACAGGCGACUUCCUGUGCAAAGCGAGUGAAUUGGCAAAAGCAGGAAAAGCUCCGGAUUUAGUUCUUCCCUUCAGGGCGACUCGCUCUAUUUCAGCAGAAGACACAGCAGAACGCGACGGGAAGUUCUCCAAGGGGUAUUGGGAUGGAUCCGUGCGGGAUUUGUUUUACGUCCUCAAAAGUGACUCUGGUGGGACUCGAACCCACAACCUUUGAAUCGCUGCGCCACGCUAGAAGUCCAAUGCGCUAUCCAUUGCGCCACAGAGCCGCGGGGCACGCUCUUCCCUCUGGCUCUUAAAAGGAGACUUACAGGUUAUUUUAAGGCAAUCCAGAACGUUUACAUGGGGAGGCAGAAAGCACUUGCUUUGCGUUUGGAAUUGCAGCCAAGCCUGGGGUGGCGAGUACUAGAAGAAAAAAAAAAAGAACCGACAUGACUAUUGGGGUUUUUAAAAUGGACUAAUAAGAGGAACAAAAUCUGUGCACCAGAAUUGGGGUUCGAGCCUAGGCAGGCUUAUGUGUCGACUGGAUCUCAAGUCCUACGCCUUAGCCAUGGUUUACAGAAUGGCCCAGUGGCUAACUUUUAUCACUCCUCAAAAUAAGGUGAAUAAGUUCAGUGUUCGAAAUACGGCUUACUAUGAAAGCGUCUUUAUUUAACAAAGUUCACCAGCUUUUAGCCAAUGCUGAAGUUCUGAUGCCUUAGUGAACCAGAAGCAGCAGCUAACCUAAGUCAGGCAGACAGAAGGGGGACUAUUUCCUGCACCUGUCGAUUUUUUAUUUAUUUUUGGAUGUGUGUGCGCGUGCGUGUGUGUUCACACCGCUCAAAUGUAUGGAUCCAUUUCUUCCUAUAAUACGCAGCUAACUGAAAGUUUCACUUUGAGCUCCCCCGCCCCCCAUGAAAACUUGGAAAGAGCUUUCCGGUGCUCCCUCGCGCGAAGCGGGGGGAACUUUCUCCGCCUCUUGCCGCGAGGAGACCUCCCUGAGUUUUCUCGCCGCUUUUGUUGCCUCCUGCCCUCCAGACCGUGGGAUCAGAUGCCGGGAGACUUGGAGGAGUUUCCGUCUUCCCGCCCGACCCGAGGCAGCAACAAAUGCAAGUGAAAGAAAAAAAGCCUUUCCUCCUAGGAAAAAGAAAUCCUUGCGCAUGUAUCCCCGGUAGCCGCUUUCCUGUGCUCGAGCCCGCCAGGGGGAGGCGAUCAUUCCCAGGUUCAGUCCCGGAAAUCUCUGGGUAAAAGGAUCAGAAAGAAAGCGGGGCGGAAGCCCUCUGGCCGUGACAAAGUAAAAAAGCAUCCCUGCCUGGACUCCAUGGCAGGCCUGGCCUGGACUCCAUGGCAGAACAAGAGAAAAGGAAGCCCAGGGGACCUUGACUCUGAGAUUCAACCAGGGCUAAGAAACCGGCCUUCCAGCUUCAGUCUGCGACCCAUCGGGGAGCCACGUGGGCUCACACGCCGCAAGAAGCCACUCCAGCAACACGCGGCAAGGAUUUUUACGCCACCUCUCCAAGUUUUAACUGAGAACGGGCUGCCUAGGAAGGGUUUCCUCGCCCUCUUUGCCAGGACACCGCAGACCCCACGGGUCUCUAACCGCAGGCAACUUAGAGGCGCCACUCGAGCCGCGGAACUGGUCCCUCUGCUUCGGCUGCAACGCACCACUUCCGGUGGGCGGACGACGACUGCGCGGAGGACUAGAAAGAAACACCUGUAGGGAUCCUGCCAGUCAGUUGCCCUCCGGCCUGGCGUUCUAUUUGUAGGGUUUUUCCUCAACCUGUGGGUCCCCAGAUGUUGUUGAACUACAACUCCCAUCACCCCUAGCUAGCAAGGCCAAAGCUCAGGGAUGAGUAGUGCUCCCCUCCCCUUUAAAAAUGUUUAGGGGUCCUCUCAUUUUGACUCAAGAAAAUCGCCAUUUCAGUAGUUCUAAUCGGGAAAAAUAAAUACAGUAAAUGGACAAAAGUACAAAGAUUCACAAAAUGUUUAGGGGAAUGCGCCCCCCCCAGGAAACAAGCACUGAAUAGAAGAUAAUAAAUACAAUCAAUAUGGGGAACAUUCGAACAUUGCUCUUCUGCAACUCUUUUAAGUGCAAAAGCAGAAGCAGCAGAUCCUGCGUCCUGAGCCCAGACGGCGUCCCCCAUCCCCAGAGUGUUGAAACGGGUUGCCUUCAGUCCUUUGCUCACCCCAUCGCUGCUAACAUAUCGGAAAAUGCCAGCUUCGUCCCAAAAAGGGAUGCUCCCUGCCCAGCGCUAGGUUCUCCGGCGCGUGAUUGAUACUGUGACCCUUCCAUCAUUUAAACUCCUUUGCUUUGCCCCUUUUAACUGUUCGUAGGAACCCCCAUUGCCAACCCCGGAGCAUUUCCAGCCCUGACUGCCGCGAAGCCGCGGACUUUUAGUGCAAUGCCCGCAGGGGGGGGUUGGAGAGCUAGGGAGUUUAAGGAUAUUCACGUUAAUCGGACAUUAGCGUAAACCACCAUAAUGCACAAAAUGUCUGGAAUCAGCUCACUCGGAAGAUAUAUAAUAGCACAACUUAAUGCAAAUUCCCCAGUGGGUAUUGGGAUCUUUGGCAAAUUUGUUUUCAUCCUCAAAAGAAACCUGUGACUCUGGUGGGACUCGAACCCACAACCUUUGAAUCACUUCACUACGCUAGAAGUCCAAUGCGCUAUCCAUUGCGCCACAGAGCCGCGCGUUAGGUUACCUCCUCUGCCUUAAAGGACACUUUUAUGUUACCUAAACAGUGGCCUCCAUAUGCCGGAAGUUUUCUUGGGGAAGUAUAAAGCAGUUGCUUUAGGUUGGAAAUUGCAGCUCCAUCCGGGGCGGAGAGCAAGAAGAAAAAGAGUUAAAAUGACUGGGGCGGGGAAGUUUAAAGCGGACUAGCAAACAAAAGCUCCCUCUCUUACCAGAAGUGGGGUUCGAACCCACGCAGACAUAUGUCUAUUGGAUCUUAAGUCCAACGCCUUAACCACUCGGCCAUUCUGGUAAUUAUGGUCAACUUUGACAACACCAUGAAAUAAGCUGAAUAACUUCAGCCUUUUGACGCGCGAUACAUCCGCCCCCCUGCUGGACGAAGAGCGUCUCCAUUCAACAAGCUGCAUCGAGUAGUAGCAGAAGUUCAAAACCCAUCUCCUAGCUACCCUGCCUGCCAGGAUUAGUGCGUACGACAGAGUACUACUGGAAGGGGCACGUUUCACACGAAUAAAUGUAAGAGAAUUCAUUUAGCACGGACGACUAUAGUUGGCUAACUAGUAAUAAAUCUUACACUUUCACCAGACAUCAGAAGGGGCUGUUUGGUGGGGGGGAAACUCAGAUAUGUUCUAUGGAAGCACGCCAUUAUUCUUGUUUGCUUUCAUACUGGAACAAUAGGAACAAAGUUUGAUCUUUACGUGUAGAUAGAUGCGUGCUCUCCGUCCCCACUCGAAACAUUAGUGCCAUUCUCAAACGAGGCCGCAAGGUGGCAGCACAACGAGCUGCGUCAAAGGCAGCGGCGCGCUGCGGGCGAUGCUUCCUGAACAGAACUUUAUCAGAAGCGAAGACAAAAAACAUUGGGAAGAGAGCAGGUAGGUUUUUCUUUCGCCCUCCACCUGAAUUAGACUGAAAUUCUAGACACACCUACCUAGGAGUAACUACCGCUGAACUCAGUGGGGCUUACUUCUCAAUAGACUUGCAUAGGAUUGCAGUAGUUUUCUUCCAGAAUCUUUUAAAACAUAACUGAUUGCAUUGUGCUUAAUCUACUUUCAGUUAUGUGCUUAUAUUUAUCAUGCUUGACUCCUUCCUUUCUUCCAAAGAGCAGAAGCCAGAUGAUACAGAAGUAACCUUUUGUCCUGGUUGCCUACCAUGCAGUCCUGGUUAAUUCAGAAGCAAGCCCCACUGAGUGCAGUGGGAUUUAUUCCUGGGUAAAUGUGCAUACAUAGCAUUGCAUCCUUGGUUAGCUUUGUUUGCAAGCAAGCAUUAUUCUAUGGGGAGAUUGCUAAGGUGCAGUGAAGGCACACCGGGAGAAAUCAUAAAUGAUUUCAAUCUCAUGCUCUUCAGCUUUCCUGUGCCUGAUUCCGACACUCCCACCUGUAUUAUCACAUAUCAGGGCCUGAGGUGGAAAACUCAAAAGGCACCUAAGUUUCAUUUGACAUAAAAGGAACCACUGUGGUGUAGUGGACUAGAGCCUGGGAGACCAGGGCUAUCCCCCCUCGGCCACAAAGCCUCCUGGGCAACCUAGCACCAGCCACUGCCUCCCAGCCUAACCUACCAUACAUGGUGGGAGGGUCUAGAGAUAAUCCAUAAAAAGCAGGUCUGUAGGCACUAGUCCACAAGUCUUGUCGCCCCCAUCACUAAUGUUCUGUGCUCAUUGCAAAUGUUAUUUGAGAUUCUGCAAAUGGCUCCUAGUCCAGGGUUAGUGUGCCUGUUUUUCUUGCAACAGAAAAGUUAGAUGGAAGAGGGUGGCUGAAAGGACGCCACUUUCACCAUGUGAUGCGUCAGUUUUCAAUUUCCAGUGAAAACUUGCUUUGAAAGUUGUCCUUAGCAUAAAAUCUUCAUGCUAGCUGGUGCGUCCUCAAACCCAUAGCAAGAAACAUUAUGGUGGUAAGGGCUGCAAGCACAUGAGGGGAGCACCUUAAGUCAAAGUACAAGAAUCUGUAUCUUGAGCAUAAUUUAAUGCCAUCUUGUCAAGCCUUGUCAGGGAAAUUCCCUUGGGUGUUCAAGUAUGAAAGGUAAAGGUAAAGGGUAACGGGACCCCUGACCAUUAGGUCCAGUCAUGACCGACUCUGGGGUUGCGGCGCUCAUCUCACUUUACUGGCCAAGGGAGCAGGCGUACAGCCUCUGGGUCAUGUGGCCAGCAUGACUAAGCCGCUUCUGGCGAACCAGAGCAGCGCAUGGAAAUGCCCUUUACCUUCCUGCUGGAGCGGUACCUAUUUAUCUACUUGCACUUUGACGUGCUUUCGAACUGCUAGGUUGGCAGGAGCAGGGACCGAGCAUCGGGAGCUCACCCCGUCACAAUGAUUCAAACUGCCGACCUUCUGAUUGGCAAGUCCUAGGCUCUGGGGUUUAACCUACAGCGCCACCCGCGUCCCUAUUAAGCAGUAUAAAAUGUUAAUGAACAUAUAGGUGGUACUGGCAAAGCCCUGGCUGUUCUCUAUCCUUCCAAAGAGGGUAAAUCUCUUCAGGUAGCAGCAGGACAGAAAUAGAGUAGCCAAUUUGCAACCUAGAGAAAAUCUCCCAUUAUUAAUCAGCCAUCCAGUGGAAAAGGAGAAAGCAGUCUCAGCUUUCCAUUUUUCAAGCCAGCCACUCUUUGCACUUGGCUGGAGCAAACAGGUCUCUGUUUUUGACCCCAAAGAUGGAAGAUGCCAUAGAUAUGGGGCCAAAGGAAUAAACUGGACUCUGUCAAAUAUUAUACACAAGGAACCCUGAUCAGCUCCCCGGACAAGAUGCUAGGCACUGGAAGUAUAUAGAGUAGGGGUGAGGAAUCUCUCUUCAGUCUGGGGGCCGCAAUCUCUUCUGGGCAAACUUAUAGAGGCAACACUAACAUAGCCUUCUCUAUCCUUUAUCAAGGCAUCAUCCAAGUUCGAGGACUGAUUCCAGCCAGGCAAAAAACACUCAAGGAAGUUGUGAAGGUAAGGGAGUAGUGUGGACUGGGGAAGAGUGCUAGGGAGGGUGACUUCAAGAGUCCUGAGGCCAGUGACAAAGGCCUGAUGUCCCACAUCCCUGAGCUAGAAAGACACUCCAUUUGUCAUCCCUGUCAUGCCAUGGAAUCAGUCACAACUGAAACAAGUGCUGCAAGCUUGCUUUCUAGGUAUACUCAGUUUAAAAGCCUACUUUACCCUUAUCCAGUCUAGAGUCCUAGCCUAGGGAAACAUAAAUGGUGAUCAUCCCCAGUAUUUUCUCCACGGUCACUGAUACUGACACACAGCACUGGGACUGAAGGAAUCCCAAGUCCAGGGAGAUUGUUGGCAAGGUUCAACAUUUAGCAGAAAGCAGGCGCUGUCUGUCUAGUAAGCAAACAAGGAUUUUCUUGCCCCUGCAAAAAACAGGACACACGCCUGGUGAACCUUAGAGAUUUCAGAAGAGCCUCGUCAGAACAAAGGCCAAAUGAAAAGGCAGACAAACACCUACUAAGGUGCCAAGACAGGAGGAGACAAAGGCUCAGAGGUAUGUGUGCUCCCUUCUUAAUCUUUGCCCCUUAAACCAGAAUAAACUGACAAAACAGGGAAGUUGAAAAGGACAAAGAAGUCAGUUCAGGCCUGAUAGUUGAAGUGAUACACACAAAAAGCACUCUUGGAUAUUUCAGGUUUUAUUAUUUAAUUUAGUUUUCUUGGAAAAAAGACAAUAAGGCAAAAAAAAAAUAAUUCCAAAAAUAGAAUUGCAGGAAUAUUCUCUCUUAACGCCUGCCAAUAUCCUAUGCAAGGAUGUGUCAGCCUCUACAAGCUGCAGAAAACAGGCUUCAGACAGGGACUGAGCAGCAAAGAGCGCAGAGACCCCACCCAAAACCCCUUUCCUUCCCACUGAGCAGCACUGUCCUUUGCUGCUGGGGAUGGCAGGGUUCACGGCCUCAUUUCUACCUGCCAGCAAGGUGAUUCCAUCCCACCUGCAAGCAUCCCAGGGAAGGAACGCCGCCACCUCUUACCCCUUCAGUGGCUAAAGUUUGGAAGUUGAAAGAAAAACACAGAAAAGAAAAAGAAAAAAUGAGGAUAGGAAACACAGAAGGAAGGCACCUCAUUGUGUGAUCCUUAGCCAAGGGCAGGGGCUGCCUUAUAGUCCACACAUACACAUACACACACACGCACCCCCCCCCCCCGAGCGUUGGCUUGGCUAGAGCAGCCUCUGUGCCCUUGUCCACUUCAACACAGCGGCAGCACCUCUGUCAACCUUAGGAUCCAGCUUUGGCAGCUGAGAGCAGAGCUGUCCCAAGGCCAGUUUGGGGAGUUCUUGCAGCCUCCUUAUUUCACAGCGGGAUCCAUGGACACCUGGCUUGUGCCUGCACAGUGAGGAGCCUGAUGCCAGUGAGCUCCAGCUCUGCAUCAGAUAGUGUUUUUUAAAAUUUUAUUUUAAAGAAGGCAAGGCAAGCAAACCAUUGUUGACUGUCACGCUUUCUGCAGAGCGUCUCCCUGGAUCCGGUGGCAGUGGAGGGGGACAGCUGGGGGCAAGUGUUACAAAAUGGGGUCUGCAGGAUAGGAGGUAUAGGAGGGGAAAAACCAGAACAAAAAUUAUAUCUCUUUUUUUCUCACUCUCUUUCUCUCUCUACAUAUAUAUAAUAUACAUAUAAACAGGUGCGCAUUAAGCCAGAGGUUGCUUUAGGCAGAGGGGAGGCUGUGUCCUGCAUCGCCGCUUUCCACCCAAGUGUAUGUGGGGAAAAUCUGAAGCCUGCUAUGGGGAAGGGAGAACAAGUAAGUUUUAUUUCCUACCAUCGUAUGAACAGCUGGUGAUGUCACAAAGGCGGGUUCCGCUGAAACCAGAGCUACCUGCACCCACCCACUGCCACCACCC
Molecule: transfer RNA, 7741 nt
Filed under: Podarcis lilfordi (Lilford's wall lizard)
Lineage: Eukaryota; Metazoa; Chordata; Lepidosauria; Squamata; Lacertidae
Source: RNAcentral